Molecule: ribosomal RNA, 494 nt
Filed under: uncultured bacterium
Lineage: Bacteria
Description: partial 16S ribosomal RNA
Rfam family: Bacterial small subunit ribosomal RNA
Source: RNAcentral
GACGAACGCUGGCGGCGUGCUUAACACAUGCAAGUCGAACGGUGAAGCGCCUUCCUUUUUGGUGGGUGUGGAUGAGUGGCGAACGGGUGAGUAACACGUGAGUAACCUGCCCCCUUCUUCUGGAUAACCGCAUGAAAGUGUGGCUAAUACGGGAUAUUCUGGGUCUGUCGCAUGAUGGGUCUGGGAAAGAUAUUGUUUCGGUGGGGGAUGGGCUCGCGGCCUAUCAGCUUGUUGGUGGGGUGAUGGCCUACCAAGGCGGUGACGGGUAGCCGGCCUGAGAGGGUGGACGGUCACACUGGGACUGAGACACGGCACAGACUCCUACGGGAGGAAGCAGUGGGGAAUGUUGCACAAUGGGCGCAAGCCUGAUGCAGCGACGCCGCGUGAGGGAUGGAGGCCUUCGGGUUGUGAACCUCUUUCGCCAGUGAAGCAGGCCUGCCUCGUUUGUGGGUGGGUUGACGGUAGCUGGAUAAGAAGCGCCGGCUAACUACGUG